Long non-coding RNA from Helicoverpa armigera (cotton bollworm), 1733 nucleotides. RefSeq lists it as uncharacterized. Lineage: Eukaryota; Metazoa; Arthropoda; Insecta; Lepidoptera; Noctuidae. The transcript has 3 exons. The record is from RefSeq and is a predicted model, not a curated record.
UCUGUUAAUAUUUAUAUAAUGUAUUGUAAGUAAUAAGAAACAGAGAUUCGCAAUUACUAAAUGAUCCAAUUACGGUUAAUGAUUUACAAUGUUACUGGUAGACUACGAGUGUGUUUGUAAUCAAAACAAUAAUAUUUUUAUUACAACUACAUUAUUGUUUGCAGUACAUAUCGUUCGUAGCGUCACUUAAAAAUCGUUUAGUUUGGUUUACCCUUUAUGUAGUGUUAGGCCUUAACAAGACUAUUAUAGUAAAAACCGCACCGGAAACAGUAAACGGUACAAUGCAUGUAUUACUCCGUGCUAUUUGUUAGUGUGUUUUAAAAUAUUAUAAAAUAAUAAUGUUACAAUAACAAUCGAGGUGGUAUUCAUAGCAAAGUAUCUUGUACUGUUUAUCGAAAACUGUGUUUUUGUAAACAAACUCGCGCGCUCGCAUCCCGCCCCGCCACCGCCACCCGCACCCGAGCCGGCGUCCGGCUUGGCGGCCAUUGUGUUUUUGACCAGCGAGCGAGCGCAGUAUUGCAGAUUGAAUUUGAAGUGUUUUUCGCCUUUUUGGGUUAUUAUUACAAAACCAGUGACGAGAUGGAUGAUGACAUUGACCAAGACGUCCCUCAGUUAUUAAAGCAGUGGGGUUUACCCCAAUAUAUUCAUACUUUUCAAGCCGUUGAAAAAUCUACUCUUAAAAUCGAAUGAAGGACAAGGCCUGCUAAAUUUAUAUUCAGAACAAGGCAAAUUAUCAAAUAAUGGGCGAAGAAAAGUUUGCAAUAUAAUAAUAAAAGACCUAAUGCAAUCAGACCCAAAUAAAAGAAUAGACAGUUCUCUACUUCUUACAAAAGCACAAGAAAUAACUGAAGUAUUCAAAAAGGAAAAUAUAAGUACUUACUUUAUUCCAUACAUUAAUGAUACUAAACUUAAAAUAAAAAGAUGUGCAAAAGGCAAAUUAUAUGACUGUCUACAAAACAGGCGCCGCGAAUUAAGGGAGGCUAAGGUUAUUAAAAAGAAAAAUGGCAGCAACAUCAACAAUAACAGCAACGAGCCAGAAGUCGUCGAAGAAGAUGGUGGUGCAGAUGAAGAUAUCCAGUGGCUCCAAAACUGUACAGAACCCUGGCAUUUAGUGAUAGAGAAGUGGCAAAAAACUUCCAAAAAUAGAUUGAAGGAAAUAGAGACUUCAGAAAUGACCAUCGGAGCAUACAUUAAUAAAUAUCCAGUGUUAAAAACGCCACGCGGGCAUGAGCUUCUUAUUGAAGAUUUAAGAAGGGCCCUAUUAGAGCCUGUUCACACUAGCAUUAAUAUCGCCGCGAGCACGCGGCGAGCAAGCUGCGAUAUCACACACAUAUAAAGUUUGCUCGCGGCGAUAUUAUUGCGAUAAAAUAAUCGCCGCGAUACCGCGACGACCCGCGGCGAGCUCGUUGCGUGCACGCCGCGAUCUCGCAUCGCCGAAAAGAAUCGCUAGUGUGAACAGGCUCUAAUAGGGCCCCAUACUUUACAAGUUGAAUGUAGAAAUGAUAAGUAUAAGGGACGUCGACGCUGAAAAGACGCCUGAACGGGUAGCAUGAUCGCGCGAAAAGUGAUAAAACAUCUCCCUAUCGCACUAUUAGUAAGUGCGAUAGGGACGGAUGUUUUAUCGCGCGAUCAUGCUACCAAUGCAGAUGUGAGGGGCCGUAAUGUGUAAGUGUAAUUUCUACGGACCAAUGAUUGUGAUGAUUAUAUUAAAAUAAAUGUCAUUUUUCUCUGUA